AUACUUACCUGGCAGGGGAGAUACCAUGAUCACGAAGGUGGUUUUCCCAGGGCGUGGCUUAUCUAUUGCACUCCGGAUGUGCUGACCCCUGCGAUUUCCCCAAAUGUGGGAAACUCAACUGCAUAAUUUGUGGUAGUGGGGGACUGCAUUCACGCUCUCCCCUA
This 164-nucleotide small nuclear RNA is filed under the name Rhinolophus ferrumequinum (greater horseshoe bat). RNAcentral's name for it is "U1 spliceosomal RNA (ENSRFEG00010013170.1)". It matches the Rfam family "U1 spliceosomal RNA". From Rfam's summary of the family: U1 is a small nuclear RNA (snRNA) component of the spliceosome (involved in pre-mRNA splicing). Its 5' end forms complementary base pairs with the 5' splice junction, thus defining the 5' donor site of an intron. There are significant differences in sequence and secondary structure between metazoan and yeast U1 snRNAs, the latter being much longer (568 nucleotides as compared to 164 nucleotides in human). Lineage: Eukaryota; Metazoa; Chordata; Mammalia; Chiroptera; Rhinolophidae. The record is from Rfam by way of RNAcentral.